UACAGAGGUCCCAAGCGUUGUUCGGAUUCACUGGGCGUAAAGGGUGCGUAGGCGGUUGGGUAAGUCUGUCGUGAAAUCUCCGAGCCUAACUCGGAAACUGCGUCGGAUACUAUUCAACUCGAGGAAUGGAGGGGAGACUGGAAUUCUCGGUGUAGCAGUGAAAUGCGUAGAUAUCGAGAGGAACACCAGUGGCGAAGGCGAGUCUCUGGGACGGUACUGACGCUGAGACGCGAAAGCGUGGGGAGCGAACAGG
This 253-nucleotide ribosomal RNA is filed under the name uncultured bacterium. RNAcentral describes it as "partial 16S ribosomal RNA". It matches the Rfam family "Bacterial small subunit ribosomal RNA", at positions 524 to 776 of the family's 1533-position model. The record is from RNAcentral.